AAUCUCAGAAAAGGGACAGUGAUAAGAUUUUGAAAUAUAUCUAAUAAUAUAAAAAAAUAAAACAAACAAAAUAAAAGCCUCAGUGGUCAAAAUACUGCAUUGAGUUAAUCGCCUGUGCAGUUAGGUCGUCCUGGGGGCUCCUUGCUGUCCUUGGAAAUGCUGCAGAAGCGCUCUAAGGCAAGCUCCCAGUCUCCAGAGAAGGGGUUUGGGGCAAGCUUAUCCCUGCUCCUGGAGACUUCUUUUCUUCUAAUGACUAUUUUAUAUCCUUCCCUCUUACUGUGUAGGGGGGCUCUGUUAACUCCAUCAAGUGUCUAAGUGAGAUCAGGUUUUAACAGCCUAGACACUGUUUCCAUUACAGUGUAGUCCACUGGAAAUCUUGUUACCAAGAGGGUGUGUGUCAGAACUCACCAUUCCUCUUCCUAAGAAUGGCGGAGCUCUUUUGUUCCUGUUCCCUCAUUGACCACCUUUCUCUUUGAUGAUGCUUUGGCUUGACCAUUCUCACCGCUGCAAAGUCUUAUCCUUCCUUCAUCUUAUAAAUUUCAUCCCUGGACAUUCCAGGAAAAAAAAAAUGUUUUGCUCCUUUGGUUCUGCUACUCAGAUCCUCCUGGAUCACAUAUGGCCUAUUCAAGCUCCUCACCUCCUCCAGAGCAGGAUCCUGUCUCCUAGGAAACAGUGCCCCACCUUUUAGUGUGAAAUAAUUUCACCCAUCUUCUAUUUUCUCGCUGCAGUCUACCUUUGUAUCACAGAAGAAACUACUUUGAAAUUAGUAACCAGUGACUUCCAUGAUGAGCAGGACUUACACACACUCUGUUUUUUUAUUUUUUAUUUUUCCUUUCGCAAAGAGUUCUAGUUGUUGAAUUUCAGAAUUUCCUGAAUAUAGAACCAGUACUUCUAGGAAGUAUUUCCAAUCAGUUUUCAUCAUCUCUUCAUUCCCUCCCCCCAUAAGUGUCCAUGAACUCAAUAUGGAUAUUGUUCAUGUUAUUAUUGAUGUCAUUCUACUGUUCAAAGCAUUCUGGUGUACGUUCAUGAAUGCUGAUACAGAUAAUGAGCUUCUUUUUAAAAAAUGGAUGUAUCUCCCCAAGGCACACAGGGUCAUUUUAAAAGCAAGUGAGUCAUUGUGUAUUUUAACAAGAAAAAUAGUGAAGUCCUCAUUUAAGACGGACAGCACAAUAUCAUAUCUUAAGGAUUGGACAGGUGACUGUCCAUCACUGAGGGAAGUCAACUCAGGAACUCAGUCAACAACCUGCACGCCAAGGAUUACUGUUGAUUACUUAUUUGUUCCUCAUGGCUUGCUGAGCCUGCUCUCUUGUACAACCCAGGACCACCUGCCUGCCUAGGGUGGACCCACCCACAGUGAAUUGAGCCUGUCCAUACCAGCCACUAAUCAAUAAAAUGCCCUGCAGGCAUGUCUACAGGCCAAUCGGUGGAGACAUUUUCUCAACUGAGGUUCCCUCUUCCCACGUGACUCUAGUUUGAGUCAAGGUUACAAAACAAAAGGAGCACACCUGCAUUUAUUUGUGAAGGACUUGUGCAGCCACAGUUCAUACCCACUAUUCUAAUAGUUGGACAUACAACAGAAUUGGGGAACCCAUCACAAAACUCACAAAGAUAUGAUGAUCAACCUCUGUCAGGUAUGGAAACUUCAUUCUUUGGUUGUGUGUGAUGUGAGAUUUGAGGCUGACUCAGAUUGCACCAGUUGAGGAGCUAGAGACAGUUGGUGCAGGAGCUCCUCUAUUGGAGGGUACAAGGUCGAUGAUAUCAAUACAACGUUUAGUUCUUGACAACUGAAACACAUAAUAAAAGACACUAGCUCUAUUGACAAUAGUGAAAUGACUGGCUAUUAAUUUAACAAAGAUAUUAAAGAGUAAAGUCCAGAUUCAUUGGGACAUCAUGUAUGCCUGUAAUGCACAUUUUAACCAA
Microtus ochrogaster (prairie vole) is the source of this 1920-nucleotide long non-coding RNA. RefSeq lists it as uncharacterized. The transcript has 5 exons. The record is from RefSeq and is a predicted model, not a curated record. Lineage: Eukaryota; Metazoa; Chordata; Mammalia; Rodentia; Cricetidae.